Molecule: ribosomal RNA, 465 nt
Filed under: uncultured bacterium
Lineage: Bacteria
Description: partial 16S ribosomal RNA
Rfam family: Bacterial small subunit ribosomal RNA
Source: RNAcentral
CCUACGGGAGGCAGUAGUGGGGAAUAUUGCGCAAUGGGCGAAAGCCUGACGCAGCGACGCCGCGUGAGGGAUGAAGGUCUUCGGAUCGUAAACCUCUGUCAGCAGGGAAGAACGGUCACUGUGCUAAUCAGCAGUGAAUUGACGGUACCUGCAAAGUAAGCACCGGCUAACUCCGUGCCAGCAGCCGCGGUAAUACGGAGGGUGCGCGCGUUAAUCGGAAUUACUGGGCGUAAAGCGCUCGUAGGCGGUAUGUCAAGUCAAGGGGGAAAUCCCCGCGCUCAACGUGGGAACUGCCUUUGAAACUGGCAAACUGGAGUGUGUGAGAGGAUAGUGGAAUUCCAGGGGUAGGAGUGAAAUCCGUAGAUAUCUGGAGGAACAUCAGUGGCGAAGGCGACUAUCUGGCACAUAACUGACGCUGAGGAGCGAAAGCGUGGGUAGCAAACAGGAUUAGAUACCCUGGUAGUC